GCCUUCGUGGUGUAACGGAAGCACACACUCGGUGUGUAUUCGAGAAGCCCAGGUUCGAGUCCCGGAGAGGGCA
This 73-nucleotide transfer RNA is filed under the name Stegodyphus mimosarum. It matches the Rfam family "tRNA". Rfam says of the family: Transfer RNA (tRNA) molecules are approximately 80 nucleotides in length. Their secondary structure includes four short double-helical elements and three loops (D, anti-codon, and T loops). Further hydrogen bonds mediate the characteristic L-shaped molecular structure. tRNAs have two regions of fundamental functional importance: the anti-codon, which is responsible for specific mRNA codon recognition, and the 3' end, to which the tRNAs corresponding amino acid is attached (by aminoacyl-tRNA synthetases). tRNAs cope with the degeneracy of the genetic code in two manners: having more than one tRNA (with a specific anti-codon) for a particular amino acid; and 'wobble' base-pairing, i.e. permitting non-standard base-pairing at the 3rd anti-codon position. Lineage: Eukaryota; Metazoa; Arthropoda; Arachnida; Araneae; Eresidae. The record is from Rfam by way of RNAcentral.